UAGGGAAUCUUCGGCAAUGGGGGGAACCCUGACCGAGCAACGCCGCGUGAGUGAAGAAGGUUUUCGGAUCGUAAAGCUCUGUUGUUAAGGAAGAACGAGUGUGAGAAUGGAAAGUUCAUGCUGUGACGGUACUUAACCAGAAAGGGACGGCUAACUACGUGCCAGCAGCCGCGGUAAUACGUAGGUCCCGAGCGUUGUCCGGAUUUAUUGGGCGUAAAGCGAGCGCAGGCGGUUAGAAAAGUCUGAAGUGAAAGGCAGUGGCUCAACCAUUGUAGGCUUUGGAAACUGUUUAACUUGAGUGCAGAAGGGGAGAGUGGAAUUCCAUGUGUAGCGGUGAAAUGCGUAGAUAUAUGGAGGAACACCAGUGGCGAAGGCGACUCUCUGGUCUGUAACUGACGCUGAGGUUCGAAAGCGUGGGGAGCGAACAGG
Molecule: ribosomal RNA, 429 nt
Filed under: Bacteroidota bacterium
Lineage: Bacteria; Pseudomonadati; Bacteroidota
Description: Bacteroidetes bacterium partial 16S ribosomal RNA
Rfam family: Bacterial small subunit ribosomal RNA
Source: RNAcentral